GCGGGAGUAGCUCAGUUGGUAGAGCACAACCUUGCCAAGGUUGGGGUCGCGGGUUCGAGUCUCGUCUCCCGCUC
RNAcentral lists this transfer RNA (74 nucleotides) under Bacteroidota bacterium. Its description in RNAcentral is "tRNA-Gly". It matches the Rfam family "tRNA". Rfam says of the family: Transfer RNA (tRNA) molecules are approximately 80 nucleotides in length. Their secondary structure includes four short double-helical elements and three loops (D, anti-codon, and T loops). Lineage: Bacteria; Pseudomonadati; Bacteroidota. The record is from RNAcentral. RNAcentral also lists the same sequence under 1 other name.